UUGGAGGGCAAGUCUGGUGCCAGCAGCCGCGGUAAUUCCAGCUCCAAUGGCGUAUAUUAAAGUUGUUGCAGUUAAAAAGCUCGUAGUUGAAUUUCGGGAUCAGAGUGUCGGUCGUGCCUCGGUACGCACUGGUAUUAUUGGUUCCUACCUUCUGAAGAACCGCGAUGUCAUUAAUUUGGUGUCGUGGGGAAUCAGGACUGUUACUUUGAAAAAAUUAGAGUGUUUAAAGCAGGCUUACGCUUGAAUACAUUAGCAUGGAAUAAUGGAAUAGGACGUUUGAUUCUAUUUUGUUGGUUUCUAGGAUUGACGUAAUGAUUAAUAGGGAUAGUUGGGGGCAUUAGUAUUCAAUUGUCAGAGGUGAAAUUCUUGGAUUUAUUGAAGACUAACUACUGCGAAAGCAUUUGCCAAGGAUGUUUUCAUUAAUCAAGAACGAAAGUUAGGGGACCGAAGACGAUCAGAUACCGUCGUAGUCUUAACCAUAAACUAUGCCGACUAGGGAUCGGAUGAUGUUAAUUUUUUAAUGUCACAUUCGGCGCCUUGCGGGAAACCAAAGUGUUUGGGUUC
This 564-nucleotide ribosomal RNA is filed under the name uncultured Glomeromycotina. RNAcentral describes it as "SSU rRNA". It matches the Rfam family "Eukaryotic small subunit ribosomal RNA", at positions 548 to 1114 of the family's 1831-position model. Lineage: Eukaryota; Fungi; Glomeromycota. The record is from RNAcentral.